RNAcentral lists this ribosomal RNA (507 nucleotides) under uncultured bacterium. RNAcentral's name for it is "bacterial SSU rRNA". It matches the Rfam family "Bacterial small subunit ribosomal RNA", at positions 36 to 507 of the family's 1533-position model. The record is from RNAcentral.
CUGGCGGCGUGCCUAAUACAUGCAAGUCGAACGCACUCUCGUUUAGAUUGAAGGAGCUUGCUCCUGAUUGAUAAACAUUUGAGUGAGUGGCGACGGUGAGUAACACGUGGGUAACCUGCCCUAAAGUGGGGAUAACAUUUGGAACAGAUGCUAAUACCGCAUAAAACCUAACACCGCAUGGUGUAGGGUUGAAAGAUGGUUUCGGCUAUCACUUUAGGAUGGACCCGCGGUGCAUUAGUUAGUUGGUGAGGUAAAGGCUCACCAAGACCGUGAUGCAUAGCCGACCUGAGAGGGUAAUCGGCCACACUGGGACUGAGACACGGCCCAGACUCCUACGGGAGGCAGCAGUAGGGAAUCUUCCACAAUGGACGAAAGUCUGAUGGAGCAACGCCGCGUGAGUGAAGAAGGUUUUCGGAUCGUAAACUCUGUUGUUGGAGAAGAAUGUAUCUGAUAGUAACUGAUCAGGUAGUGACGGUAUCCAACCAGAAAGCCACGGCUAACUACGUG